Long non-coding RNA from Cercocebus atys (sooty mangabey), 2583 nucleotides. RefSeq lists it as uncharacterized. The record is from RefSeq and is a predicted model, not a curated record. Lineage: Eukaryota; Metazoa; Chordata; Mammalia; Primates; Cercopithecidae. The transcript is spliced from 2 exons.
CCACUUCAGCCUCCCAAAGAGCUGGGAUUACAGGCACGAGUUAGCCAGCCAGAAUGUGAAUUUUUAAUAAGUCCUCAGGUGAUUCUUAGGACUACCAAGGUUUGGGAACCACCGCGCUAGUCCUUCCUGCCUAAAACAUCACUCCUAAUUAGUGGUGAUGGAACAUCCGCGUCACACCAGCAUCUGGGAGUUGACAUACCUAGGCCCCAGCCACUUCCUCUGCUGAAGCAUUCCACAUACACUCUCCAAUUAGACCUAGUUUUUCCCUUACAACCAACAAAAACAGUCUACUUCCUUUCUCGUAAGUCAGCCCUUCAAAGAUAUGAGGAAGCCAGCUACCUGACUGCCCUUGUUUUUUCCUCCUCCAAGAUAAACAUGUCCAGUUGUUUCCCACCAUUUCCAGGUGUCUCCCCCGUGGCUGUCACUCUCACCUGUACCCUAGAGUCUAUGUUUCUCAUCAAGUAUGGUGGUCAUGGUGGAACCUAAGACUCCAAGUCAGCCAGCAGUAGACUGAAGACAAGAGGGAGAAGUCCUUCAUGCAUGUGUUUUCAUAAAUUUGGUCAAAGAUAUCUUUUCUAAGCAGUGCUAACUUCAUCCAAUUAUUUAUUCAAUCAGUUUGUUAAAAAAAAAAAAAAAAAAAAAAACUGCAACACAAAAGGAACUAAUUUGGAUCCAGAAACCAUGAAUAUAAGGAAUGGCUGGUCCCUGACUCAAGGACUUUGCAUAGCAAUUUGGUAACUUCAGUAAUUCCUAGGUAAGGUGAAAUGUGGUUGUUUAAAAAGGAAGGGAGAGCAAAGCCAGCUGAUAGUCUUAUGGAUGGCCCCACAAAGCUGGUGGCAUCACGGUUGGGCUGGAAAGGGUGAGCAACUGCCUCAAAAGUGAAGAUCGGAGGUGGAGCAGGGUCUCAGCAGAGAGUGAGCCCAAAGAAACAUGGGCUGUGAUCUGGAAAUGUUCACUGGGUCACAGCCCAGAGCACUUGGAGGGAAGCAGUAGAGACAUCCUUAGCCUGUAUUAACUCUUUUUCUUUGGAAUUAUUGUCAAAUCAGGUAUUCACCAUUCUAUAUUAUUGACUUUUUUGAGCUUAAAUGCAAUUUGUUGAUACUUAAAUGUAUUCCUAUUACAUUUAUUGGACUGGUUUUUAGUCCAAUAUUCAUAUACUAAGAGGUAAGAGAUUGGAGGGGUUUAAGAAGUCUGGAAAACCUACUCAAAAAAGGAAAUGGAUUAGAUCAGUAAUUUUCAAGGUUGUUUUGUUUCUUUUUUUUAUUAAUAGGAUGCUUCCUUUAAGCAUCAACUAUAAUCUGAUUUAGAAACAACAUGUAAAAACAGAUACAUUCAGAACAAGCAGCUCUGGUUGACACUGGCAUGGGUGGGUACUCCAGAGUCUUCCCCACUCUCAGACAUGACCUGGCUUUCUUCCCCUUUGCCCAACUAGAAUGCUUUUGUGGAGCCCAAGAGCAUCCAUGUUCUUUAGAUCCCGAGGGCCACCCAAGAUAUUCUGUGGCCUCCCAGAAUCAGGUCUCUUCAGGUCCACCACCUUCUAGAUCCCUACACAAGCCCCUGAAAAAGAUGUGAAACAGGACAAGGCACAGGAUGGCAUCAGAAAGCCCAUGAAGAAAGACCUGCUCCCAAUGAAAGCACAUCGUUGCCAAGUACGGCUUCUCAAUCAGUUAUACACCACCCAUAGGCCCUUCCUUUUUAUUUAGCUGCAUUAAAAGCCUUGGCCAGGCAAAUUUCAGAGAACAUAUUUCAAGGAGUGGUGAUGAGUGAACACAUAACUACAAGAACACCCUCCAACCUUUUAUGCUCACUGAUUUAAUAUACUUCAGUUGUCUCUGGAGAACCAUUUGCCCUCUCUUCAUCUGUGGCUCUCAUGCAUCUGAAAAGCUCUUUUAGGGGGCCACAUGGAAAGCAUAAGAAAUGGGGGCAGCCCCUAGGAGCAAAGAGCAGCUCCUGGAUAACUGCUGCAAGAAAACAAGGACCUCAGACCUGCAACCACAAGGCCAACAACCUAAAUGAACUUGGAAGUGGAUUCUUCCCCACCAAAGCCUCUAAUAAGGAACACAGCUCUACUGACAUCCAAUUUCAGCCUUUUGAGACCCUAAGCAGCAGAGGACCCAGUUCAGCCCACCUGGAUUUCUGGCCCAGAAACUCAAGAAUCGAAAUUCACUUUGCCCCAUGAUCUUCACCAGAAUGGCAUACUUGCCUCUCCCCUCGUCAGAUUUAAAAGGUUUCUGUGAUUUAAGGUCUUCCAGCACCCCUCAGGAAGCUUGACAAUGAAGAGGAAUUAUUGAUGAAUGUGGAAAGGCCAGGGGGUGGGCAUUCAUUUUUAAUGACUACACUCCUUCCCUUGACUAAAUGGAAUCAAUCCUGCCUGCCUGAAUUUCAUCCAUUCAUCAUGCUGUCACAGUGGCUGACACACAGUAGGAACUCAAUAUUUAUUUGUUGGAUAAAUUUUUAAAAAGCUAUAUCUUACUUGUAUCACUAAAUGUUGUAUAUGAAGUGAAAUAUGGAUGUCUGAGAAAAUAGGACAAUUGAGUUUAUGGAAGAAAAAAGUGCAGAUAAAGAUUAAAAGUCAAACACUUC